GGCUAUGUGGUGUCCCCUUCCUCCCUCAUGACUUCACGUGUCCCUGCUGAGACUGCAUGCUCAGUGGAAGAGGAGGAGCUCCCACGGAAGAGGAUUUUUUCCUCAGUGUACCAGUAGCUACACUCCCCUGGUAGAAUCUCCACCUAGCAUGCAAACAAUAGAGGAAGGGAGAGGAGAGAGAAGGGGAUAAUGAGAUAAGACAUAAUAAGAGUAUUAUAGGAUAAUAAAUUGU
This 232-nucleotide small RNA is filed under the name Octodon degus (degu). RNAcentral's name for it is "7SK RNA (ENSODEG00000022603.1)". It matches the Rfam family "7SK RNA", at positions 73 to 331 of the family's 331-position model. Rfam says of the family: 7SK was discovered as an abundant small nuclear RNA in the mid-70s but a possible function has only recently been suggested. Two independent studies have found that 7SK RNA binds the CDK9/cyclin T complex (known as elongation factor P-TEFb). P-TEFb activates transcription by phosphorylating the C-terminal domain of RNA polymerase II. The record is from RNAcentral. Lineage: Eukaryota; Metazoa; Chordata; Mammalia; Rodentia; Octodontidae.